This is a long non-coding RNA of Ictalurus punctatus (channel catfish), 346 nucleotides long. RefSeq lists it as uncharacterized. The transcript has 2 exons. The record is from RefSeq and is a predicted model, not a curated record. Lineage: Eukaryota; Metazoa; Chordata; Actinopteri; Siluriformes; Ictaluridae.
UACUGUACACUCAAGAACCUUUUUCGUGUCCUCAAGUGUUACUAAAAUGCUACUCCUGUUGUUGAUUCGCAACACCUGUUGGUCGCCUCCACCCACGCGCAGCCCUGAAACACCUUCUGCGACUCCUCAGCCUGCCACCCUCCUCACCUGAAACUCAUCCUGGCAUAAGAGGCAGGUUUCUGCACCCAUCUCCAUGGAAACAGGGAAGACGGCGGUCGUACGUUUGUCAGUUCGCUUGAGCUUCGUUCCGGCAGACUCUGCUUCAGCCGUUGGAUCCCUGACACCAAACAUUCACAGUCACUCCCCCAAUGAAUAAUAAUACAAUGAAAAUAACUUGAAGAAAACA